This 301-nucleotide ribosomal RNA is filed under the name uncultured bacterium. Its description in RNAcentral is "partial 16S ribosomal RNA". It matches the Rfam family "Bacterial small subunit ribosomal RNA", at positions 509 to 808 of the family's 1533-position model. The record is from RNAcentral.
CAGUAGCCGCGGGAAUACGGGGGGGGCAAGUGUUAUUCGGAAUGACUGGGCGUAAAGGGCACGUAGGCGGUGAAAAGGGUGGAAAGUGAAAGUCGCCAAAACACUGGCGGGGUGCUUUCUUGACCAUUUCACUUGAGUGAGAUAGGGGAGAGUGGAAUUUCGUGUGGAGGGAUCAAAUCCUAAGAUAUACGAAGGAACGCCAACCGCGAAGGCAGCUCUCUGGGUCCCCACUGACGCUGGGGUGCGAAAGCAUGGGGAGCAAACAGGAUCAGAUACCCCAGUAGUCCCUGUCUCUUAUACA